This 429-nucleotide ribosomal RNA is filed under the name uncultured Actinomycetes bacterium. Its description in RNAcentral is "bacterial SSU rRNA". It matches the Rfam family "Bacterial small subunit ribosomal RNA", at positions 917 to 1348 of the family's 1533-position model. The record is from RNAcentral. Lineage: Bacteria; Bacillati; Actinomycetota; Actinomycetes.
GGGCCCGCACAAGCGGCGGAGCAUGCGGAUUAAUUCGAUGCAACGCGAAGAACCUUACCUGGGUUUGACAUCGCCGGAAAUCUCGCAGAGAUGCGGGGUCCUUCGGGGCCGGUGACAGGUGGUGCAUGGCUGUCGUCAGCUCGUGUCGUGAGAUGUUGGGUUAAGUCCCGCAACGAGCGCAACCCUCGUUCGAUGUUGCCAGCGCGUUAUGGCGGGGACUCAUCGAAGACUGCCGGGGUCAACUCGGAGGAAGGUGGGGAUGACGUCAAGUCAUCAUGCCCCUUAUGUCCAGGGCUUCACGCAUGCUACAAUGGCCGGUACAAAGGGCUGCGAUACCGUGAGGUGGAGCGAAUCCCAAAAAGCCGGUCUCAGUUCGGAUCGGGGUCUGCAACUCGACCCCGUGAAGUCGGAGUCGCUAGUAAUCGCAGA